AUACGAAGGGGGCUAGCGUUGUUCGGAAUUACUGGGCGUAAAGCGCGCGUAGGCGGACUGAUCAGUUGGGGGUGAAAUCCCAGGGCUUAACCCUGGAACUGCCUCCAAUACUGUCAGUCUAGAGUUCGGGAGAGGUGAGUGGAAUUCCUAGUGUAGAGGUGAAAUUCGUAGAUAUUAGGAAGAACACCAGUGGCGAAGGCGGCUCACUGGCCCGAUACUGACGCUGAGGCGCGAAAGCGUGGGGAGCAAACAGGAUUAGAUACCCCAGUAGUCC
This 274-nucleotide ribosomal RNA is filed under the name uncultured bacterium. Its description in RNAcentral is "partial 16S ribosomal RNA". It matches the Rfam family "Bacterial small subunit ribosomal RNA", at positions 523 to 796 of the family's 1533-position model. The record is from RNAcentral.